CCAUCUCGAGAGCACCGGCGGGAAACUCGGCCCGGGCAGGAGCCCGAGGAGGGGACGGGAGGGGACGGGAGGGGGGGGGGGGGGGGGGCGGGGAGGGGAGCGGAAGGGGGCGGCCGCCCGCGGAGCCCUAGGAGAGCCAGCUGCGGAAGCGCGCCGCCUUCCCCCGCGGGGCCGGAGCUCGCCCUGGGGCGCCCGGAGUCCCCGCGCCCCGCGAGCGCGCCCGGCUGCUCCGCGCACCUGCCUCGGGCCCCGCGCGGGGGUGAGCGGGGGGGUGAGCGGCGGGCGGGCGGGCGGGCCGCGCGCACAGGUGGCGGCGAUUGGGCAGGCGGGGCCGGCAGGGUGACGUCACGGGCUCGGGUCCCGGCGGCAGAAAUAGGGCAGCCGCGGCGGCGGCGGUACGGCAGCGGCGGCUCGCGGAGCUGGAGCCGAGGCAGCCUCCGGCGCGCCCGGGACCCGCCGACAGCCGCGGAGACCGACCGAGGGACGCGCGGCCGGGUCGCCGCCACCGCCGCCGCCGCCGCCGCCGCCACGGGCGCUCGCGUGGGCCGGCUACCUGGUCUCGCCGCGGCCCCGGCCACCUCAGGUACGCGGGCGCGGGGAGGGUGCCGAGCCGCCGCCGCCGCCGCCGCCAGCCGGUCCCGCCGCGCGCCGCUGGGGUCCGGGCGCCCGCGCCGCCCGCGCCCCCCGCGCCCCCCGCGCCGCCCCUCCCCGCAGGACCCGCGCGGGCGCUCGCCGGGAGAGCCAAGUUUGCCCGCCUGGCGGGCGGCGGGCUCGGGACCGCGGGACUCGGGCGCGCCCGGGCUCCCCGGCCCCGGCCAGGACUCGGGGGCGGGCUGGGGCGCGGAGGGGUGGCCGGGGCCGCAGCCGGUGCCAGGGCGAGCCGGCCGGCGCGCGCAGCGGAACCGCUCCGGGACCCCGCAGGCGCCGCUCCCCGCUCGGGCCCCCGGGCGGCCUCGGCGAGCCGCGCGCCCUUGGCCGGGCUGGGGUGCGGAGCGGGCGUCCUCGCUGCCUCCCCGCGCCGGCUUUGCGGGCAAACUUGCGUGUCCCCGCCGCAGCCGGAAGGGCCCGCUGCGCCCCGCCUGGCCGUCGCUCCCCCGAGGUCCGCCGCGUCCGCCCGCGGGGGCUCGGCGGAGGCUGAGGAGGGGGCCCCGGGGCGCGCCCUGCCCCCGCGAAGCCCGCGGCCCGGGUCCUUCCGAGGGAGCGACCUGGGCUUCCCGCUGCGGAGCCGCUAGGGAGCAGUUUGGGGGACGCUCGGGCAGGGAGCUUGGUCCUAAGGCAGCGCGUGCAGCGGGGGAUCUGCGCCCCCCUGCGCCCGCCUGCGCCCCCCUGCGCCCCCCUGCGCCAGCACAGGAGGCCUGCUUCAAGUUUGGGGGGCACCCGGGCGGCGCGGACCGAGCGCGGCGCUCGGGCUCCGGCCGUCGGGAGUGGGCGGCCGAGCGCGGCGCGAGCCUUCGGGGCCCUCUGGAGCGGACGGAGCGGCGCCCCGGGGUGCUCGCCCGCCGCCUGCCACCUGAGGACUUGGGCUCCCGCCCCUCUGGCAAGGGCAGACGCCCGCCGCAGGCGGCGACUCCGGCAGGUGCAGAGCGCGCGGGGCCCCGCGGGGCCGGACCCCGCCGGGCUGCGCCUCGCACCGCGGGUCGGGCCGCUGGCGCGCUGCAGCCGCCCUGGCUCCGGAGGACUGUCGCCGACAUUGAGGAAUCGCGCUCGGGUCGCUCCCUCCUCCGCUCUCCUCUAGGUGUCGCUUCCCCCGAGUGA
RNAcentral lists this long non-coding RNA (1755 nucleotides) under Canis lupus familiaris (dog). Its description in RNAcentral is "lncRNA (ENSCAFG00845012143.1)". The record is from RNAcentral. Lineage: Eukaryota; Metazoa; Chordata; Mammalia; Carnivora; Canidae.